GGUUAAGCGACUAAGCGUACACGGUGGAUGCCCUGGCAGUCAGAGGCGAUGAAGGGCGUGCUAAUCUGCGAUAAGCGCCGGUAAGGUGAUAUGAACCGUUAUAACCGGCGAUACCCGAAUGGGGAAACCCAGUGUGACUCGUCACACUAUCAUUAACUGAAUCCAUAGGUUAAUGAGGCGAACCGGGGGAACUGAAACAUCUAAGUACCCCGAGGAAAAGAAAUCAACCGAGAUUCCCCCAGUAGCGGCGAGCGAACGGGGAGGAGCCCAGAGCCUGAAUCAGCAUGUGUGUUAGUGGAAGCGUCUGGAAAGGCGCGCGAUACAGGGUGACAGCCCCGUACACAAAAGCGCAUGUGCUGUGAGCUCGAUGAGUAGGGCGGGACACGUGGUAUCCUGUCUGAAUAUGGGGGGACCAUCCUCCAAGGCUAAAUACUCCUGACUGACCGAUAGUGAACCAGUACCGUGAGGGAAAGGCGAAAAGAACCCCGGCGAGGGGAGUGAAAAAGAACCUGAAACCGUGUACGUACAAGCAGUGGGAGCCCCACCACUAAGCCAGUGGUGAACUCCACAUACGCAACAUACGCAUCCUUUGCUGAAGGCAAUGGUUAACGGAGCGAAAGCGACGUUCAACCGCAAAACAAGCAGAGGGGGCUUAGUGGUGGGGUGACUGCGUACCUUUUGUAUAAUGGGUCAGCGACUUAUAUUCUGUAGCAAGGUUAACCGUAUAGGGGAGCCGGAGGGAAACCGAGUCUUAAUUGGGCGUUAAGUUGCAGGGUAUAGACCCGAAACCCGGUGAUCUAGCCAUGGGCAGGUUGAAGGUUGGGUAACACUAACUGGAGGACCGAACCGACUAAUGUUGAAAAAUUAGCGGAUGACCUGUGGCUGGGGGUGAAAGGCCAAUCAAACCGGGAGAUAGCUGGUUCUCCCCGAAAGCUAUUUAGGUAGCGCCUCGUGAAUUCAUCUCCGGGGGUAGAGCACUGUUUCGGCUAGGGGGCCAUCCCGGCUUACCAACCCGAUGCAAACUGCGAAUACCGGAGAAUGUUAUCACGGGAGACACACGGCGGGUGCUAACGUCCGUCGUGAAGAGGGAAACAACCCAGACCGCCAGCUAAGGUCCCAAAGUCAUGGUUAAGUGGGAAACGAUGUGGGAAGGCCCAGACAGCCAGGAUGUUGGCUUAGAAGCAGCCAUCAUUUAAAGAAAGCGUAAUAGCUCACUGGUCGAGUCGGCCUGCGCGGAAGAUGUAACGGGGCUAAACCAUGCACCGAAGCUGCGGCAGCGACACUCAGGUGUUGUUGGGUAGGGGAGCGUUCUGUAAGCCUGUGAAGGUGUGUCGUGAGGCAUGCUGGAGGUAUCAGAAGUGCGAAUGCUGACAUAAGUAACGAUAAAGCGGGUGAAAAGCCCGCUCGCCGGAAGACCAAGGGUUCCUGUCCAACGUUAAUCGGGGCAGGGUGAGUCGACCCCUAAGGCGAGGCCGAAAGGCGUAGUCGAUGGGAAACAGGUUAAUAUUCCUGUACUUGGUGUUACUGCGAAGGGGGGACGGAGAAGGCUAUGUUGGCCGGGCGACGGUUGUCCCGGUUUAAGCGUGUAGGUGUGUGUUCCAGGUAAAUCCGGUUCACUUUAACACUGAGGCGUGACGACGAGGCACUACGGUGCUGAAGCAACAAAUGCCCUGCUUCCAGGAAAAGCCUCUAAGCAUCAGGUAACAUCAAAUCGUACCCCAAACCGACACAGGUGGUCAGGUAGAGAAUACCAAGGCGCUUGAGAGAACUCGGGUGAAGGAACUAGGCAAAAUGGUGCCGUAACUUCGGGAGAAGGCACGCUGACACGUAGGUGAAGUGAUUUACUCAUGGAGCUGAAGUCAGUCGAAGAUACCAGCUGGCUGCAACUGUUUAUUAAAAACACAGCACUGUGCAAACACGAAAGUGGACGUAUACGGUGUGACGCCUGCCCGGUGCCGGAAGGUUAAUUGAUGGGGUCAGCGCAAGCGAAGCUCCUGAUCGAAGCCCCGGUAAACGGCGGCCGUAACUAUAACGGUCCUAAGGUAGCGAAAUUCCUUGUCGGGUAAGUUCCGACCUGCACGAAUGGCGUAAUGAUGGCCAGGCUGUCUCCACCCGAGACUCAGUGAAAUUGAACUCGCUGUGAAGAUGCAGUGUACCCGCGGCAAGACGGAAAGACCCCGUGAACCUUUACUAUAGCUUGACACUGAACAUUGAGCCUUGAUGUGUAGGAUAGGUGGGAGGCUUUGAAGCGUGGACGCCAGUCUGCGUGGAGCCGACCUUGAAAUACCACCCUUUAAUGUUUGAUGUUCUAACGUGGACCCGUAAUCCGGGUUGCGGACAGUGUCUGGUGGGUAGUUUGACUGGGGCGGUCUCCUCCUAAAGAGUAACGGAGGAGCACGAAGGUUGGCUAAUCCUGGUCGGACAUCAGGAGGUUAGUGCAAUGGCAUAAGCCAGCUUGACUGCGAGCGUGACGGCGCGAGCAGGUGCGAAAGCAGGUCAUAGUGAUCCGGUGGUUCUGAAUGGAAGGGCCAUCGCUCAACGGAUAAAAGGUACUCCGGGGAUAACAGGCUGAUACCGCCCAAGAGUUCAUAUAUCGACGGCGGUGUUUGGCACCUCGAUGUCGGCUCAUCACAUCCUGGGGCUGAAGUAGGUCCCAAGGGUAUGGCUGUUCGCCAUUUAAAGUGGUACGCGAGCUGGGUUUAGAACGUCGUGAGACAGUUCGGUCCCUAUCUGCCGUGGGCGCUGGAGAACUGAGGGGGGCUGCUCCUAGUACGAGAGGACCGGAGUGGACGCAUCACUGGUGUUCGGGUUGUCAUGCCAAUGGCACUGCCCGGUAGCUAAAUGCGGAAGAGAUAAGUGCUGAAAGCAUCUAAGCACGAAACUUGCCCCGAGAUGAGUUCUCCCUGAGACUUAGAGUCUCCUGAAGGAACGUUGAAGACGACGACGUUGAUAGGCCGGGUGUGUAAGCGCAGCGAUGCGUUGAGCUAACCGGUACUAAUGAACCGUGAGGCUUAACCUU
This 3019-nucleotide ribosomal RNA is filed under the name Salmonella enterica subsp. enterica serovar Thompson. RNAcentral's name for it is "23S ribosomal RNA". It matches the Rfam family "Bacterial large subunit ribosomal RNA". The record is from RNAcentral. Lineage: Bacteria; Pseudomonadati; Pseudomonadota; Gammaproteobacteria; Enterobacterales; Enterobacteriaceae.